UUGUUAGUCAUGUGGGAGCUGGUGGGGUAAUGAUAAUGUGACUGGACUAGAAAUCCAGCAGUUAAAGCCUCUGGGAUUGUGGGUUCAAUUUCCACCACAGCGACAGUAGAUUUCAUUAAUAAAUUUGGAAUUGAAAGCUGAUAUAAGUAAUGGAGAUAGUUAAAACCUUUUUCUUUAGUUCAUUCAUAGGAAGAGGGCGUCACUGGCUAGGUCAGCGUUUAUUGCCCAGUGAGUAGUUAACAGUCAACCACAUUGCUGUGGAUCUGGAGUCACCUGGGCCAGACCAGGUAAAGAUAGCAGUUUCCUUUCCUAAAGGACAUUAGUGAGCCAGAGUAAUUGAAUGGCUGAAGAGGCUGAAUGGCUAAUUGCUGUUCUCCAAGGUCUCAGUUCAUAUGCUCUUCAGGAUCUGCCUACGUGUUAUAAUGAAUGUCCUUCACAGCUUACAAUAUUAAGCCGGUGUCUACUUUACCAAGGGACCAGCACUGUCAUUUUGGAUGUGCAGUUAUUUGCUAAGAGUCCCUGCCUCUUGAGAAAGAGUUAGUGACAAAAUAAGCAACCUUAGUAGCUAAAUUGACACUCCAGUGUAUUGUACCAUAGAUGAUUACUGUCAUAUAAUAGUUAUACUGUCAUAUAACUCAGGAUGCUGGAGAAAGUCAUUAAGUCUGGCAGCAUAUUGCAAGAGAUUGUUUUGAACUCAAUAAUUCUUCAUAACUGCUGUUUGAGUAGUUGCAAAGCAGUUAACUAUUGUUUCAGUUAAUGAUUAAGUAAGUUCUCAGUAACCCUGAGUUCUGUAACAUGUCAAAUUUUACUAGUUUGUACUUGGUCAUGGAGAUUGGCUGCAGUCCAUGUGUGUUAUGUCAAACCUUUGAUCGGUAAGAGAAAUGGAGAUGUCUGAGGACUAAGCCACUCGUAUCAUAGCCACUCAUAUCAUAGAAGCUCUACUGUGCACAUAGAGGCCAUUUGGCCCAUCAACUCUGCACUAACUCUGGGAAGAGCAGCCAAUGCAGACACACCUCCCCACCCUAUUGCUGAAACCCUGCAUUUCCCAUGACUAAUCCACCUACCCUACAAAUCCCUGGAAAGUCUAGGCAAUUUAGCAUAGCCAAUCUGGCUAACCUGCACAUCUUUGGACUGAGAGGAAACUGGAGCUCCCAGCAGAAACUCACGGAAACACUGAGACUCCCACAGUCAGUCACCCAGGUCCCUGGCACUGUAACUCAGCAGUGCCAAUCAUCGUGCUGGCUAUGUCCCCAGGUAAACCAGUUUGAUUAAAGUAACUUCUGUUUGGAAUUAAAGUGAGCAUUGUGAAUAAUUGUAUAAAAUCUAGAGUCGAACCAUUCAUUAAACUCACUUCCAGCUCAGAUAGGAGUCCAUCUCCUUCAACAGUUGCAGAUGGCUAUGUCACUCAUGGAUCUUGUAUGUUUGGGAGCACGCAGUUUCUUUGGUGAUCACCUUGAAUCAAAGGAUGGUAUUAGACUCCCCAACCAGAGAAACAUCUUGCUGCAUCUAUGCUGUCCCUUGAAAGUUUUUUGUAAAUUUCAAUGAGAUCACCUCUCACUCUUCCAAACUCCAGAGAAUUCAUAGUCCAGUUUGUCCAAUCUCUCUUCAAAGGGCAGUUCUGCUGUUCUGGGAACAAGACUCUGAACAUUUGUUACAAUCUGUCUUUUGGCAAUAAUAUCUUACCUGAAAUAAGGAGACCAAAACACUCAGACUAUUCCAGGUGCAGUCUAAAUGUACAAUUGAAGUUUCUUGUUUCUUUUUGUAUGAGUGGUGUUUACGUGUAUAAGUUUUCUCAGAAGAAGGUCUGCAUUGUUGAAGAGGUGUCUUUUGGAUGAAACAACAAGGACCUUACUGCUGAUCCUAUGAAUCUUCACCUUGCCAAAGUUCUUCGUCACCCAGCGCCCUUAACCGAUCAAUGAUUUUCCUCUCAUCAUCAUGUAGAAUACUGUAGUAUGGAUUUCUGAAACCUCUGAAACUUUGGUUGUAAACAUUUAUGUAAUGCUAUGUUCAUCAAAACAGUGUGUGCAAAACACCAUUGCCAAUAAAUAUUGUUUAACGUA
This is a non-coding RNA of Chiloscyllium plagiosum (whitespotted bambooshark), 2060 nucleotides long. The record is from RefSeq and is a predicted model, not a curated record. NCBI's taxonomy places the organism in Eukaryota, Metazoa, Chordata, Chondrichthyes, Orectolobiformes, Hemiscylliidae.